This 503-nucleotide ribosomal RNA is filed under the name uncultured bacterium. Its description in RNAcentral is "bacterial SSU rRNA". It matches the Rfam family "Bacterial small subunit ribosomal RNA", at positions 8 to 526 of the family's 1533-position model. The record is from RNAcentral.
AGAGUUUGAUCCUGGCUCAGAAUGAACGUUGGCGGCGUGGAUUAGGCAUGCAAGUCGAGCGUGUACCCCGCAAGGGGGAAAGCGGCGAAAGGGACAGGAACACGUAGAUUACCUACCCUCUGGUUCAGGAUAGCUGCGGGAAACUGCAGGUAAUACUGAAUAACGUCUCCGGACCAAAGGUGUGAUUCCACCGGAGGAUGGGUCUGCGUCCUAUUAGCUUGUUGGUGAGGUAAUGGCUCACCAAGGCAAUGAUGGGUAGCGGGUGUGAGAGCACGACCCGCGUCACUGGGACUGAGAUACUGCCCAGACACCUACGGGUGGCUGCAGUCGAGGAUCUUCGGCAAUGGGCGCAAGCCUGACCGAGCGACGCCGCGUGCGGGAUGAAGGCCUUCGGGUUGUAAACCGCUGUCAGAGGGGAUGAAAUACAGGUGGGUUCUCCCAUCUGCUUGACAUAUCCUCAGAGGAAGUACGGGCUAAGUUCGUGCCAGCCGCCGCGGUAAUAC